GACGAACGCUGGCGGCCCGCCUUACUCAUGCAAGUCGAACGACAGAGAGGGAGCUUGCUUCCUCAAUCGAGUGGCGAACGGGUGAGUAACGCGUGAGGAACCUGCCUCAUAGAGGGGGACAACAGUUGGAAACGACUGCUAAUACCGCAUAAUCCCCACGACCCGGCAUCGGGUAGAGGGAAAAGGAGCAAUCCGCUUUGAGAUGGCCUCGCGUCCGAUUAGCUAGUUGGUGAGGUAACGGCCCACCAAGGCGACGAUCGGUAGCCGGACUGAGAGGUUGAACGGCCACAUUGGGACUGAGACACGGCCCAGACUCCUACGGGAGGCAGCAGUGGGGAAUAUUGCACAAUGGGGGAAACCCUGAUGCAGCGACGCCGCGUGGAGGAAGAAGGUCUUCGGAUUGUAAACUCCUGUUGUUGAGGAAGAUAAUGACGGUACUCAACAAGGAAGUGACGGCUAACUACGUGCCAGCAGCCGCGGUAAAACGUAGGUCACAAGCGUUGUCCGGAAUUACUGGGUGUAAAGGGAGCGCAGGCGGGAAGACAAGUUGGAAGUGAAAUCCAUGGGCUCAACCCAUGAACUGCUUUCAAAACUGUUUUUCUUGAGUAGUGCAGAGGUAGGCGGAAUUCCCGGUGUAGCGGUGGAAUGCGUAGAUAUCGGGAGGAACACCAGUGGCGAAGGCGGCCUACUGGGCACCAACUGACGCUGAGGCUCGAAAGUGUGGGUAGCAAACAGGAUUAGAUACCCUGGUAGUCCACACUGUAAACGAUGAAAACGAGGUGUUGGAGGAUUGACCCCUUCAGUGCCGCAGUAAACACAAAAAGUAAUCCACCUGGGGAGUACGACCGCAAGGUUGAAACUCAAAGGAAAUGACGGGGGCCCGCCCCAACCAGUGGAGUAUGUGGUUUAAUUUGACGCAACGCGAAGAACCUUACCAAGUCUUGACAUCCUGCGACGCACAUAGAAAUAUGUGUUUCUUUCGGGACGCAGAGACAGAUGGUGCAUGGUUGUCGUCAGCUCGUGUCGUGAGAUGUUGGGUUAAGUCCCGCAACGAGCGCAACCCUUAUGGUCAGUUACUACGCAAGAGGACUCUGGCCAGACUGCCGUUGACAAAACGGAGGAAGGUGGGGAUGACGUCAAAUCAUCAUGCCCUUUAUGACUUGGGCUACACACGUACUACAAUGGCGUUAAACAAAGAGAAGCAAGACCGCGAGGUGGAGCAAAACUCAGAAACAACGUCCCAGUUCGGACUGCAGGCUGCAACUCGCCUGCGCGAAGUCGGAGUUG
RNAcentral lists this ribosomal RNA (1287 nucleotides) under uncultured bacterium. Its description in RNAcentral is "bacterial SSU rRNA". It matches the Rfam family "Bacterial small subunit ribosomal RNA", at positions 28 to 1334 of the family's 1533-position model. The record is from RNAcentral.